This 269-nucleotide ribosomal RNA is filed under the name Bacteroidota bacterium. RNAcentral's name for it is "Bacteroidetes bacterium partial 16S ribosomal RNA". It matches the Rfam family "Bacterial small subunit ribosomal RNA", at positions 1 to 267 of the family's 1533-position model. Lineage: Bacteria; Pseudomonadati; Bacteroidota. The record is from RNAcentral.
UAACGAUGAAGAGUUUGAUCCUGGCUCAGGAUGAACGCUAGCGGCAGGCUUAACACAUGCAAGUCGAGGGGUAACAUGAGUGCUUGCACUUGAUGACGACCGGCGCACGGGUGCGUAACGCGUAUACAAUCUGCCUUUUGCUGUGGGAUAGCCCAGAGAAAUUUGGAUUAAUACCGCAUAGUAUAUAGGAGUGGCAUCACUACUAUAUUAAAGAUUACGGCAAAAGAUGAGUAUGCGUUCUAUUAGCUAGAUGGUGUGGUAACGGCACA